Molecule: small nuclear RNA, 107 nt
Organism: Spermophilus dauricus (Daurian ground squirrel)
Lineage: Eukaryota; Metazoa; Chordata; Mammalia; Rodentia; Sciuridae
Source: Ensembl
GAGCUCAUUUCAGUAGCACAUAUACUAAAAUUGGACUAAUACAAAGAAGAUUUGCACGGCCUCUUAACAAGGAUGACACACAAAUUCGUGUGGAAUUCCAUACUUUU